RNAcentral lists this ribosomal RNA (207 nucleotides) under uncultured Sinobacteraceae bacterium. Its description in RNAcentral is "partial 16S ribosomal RNA". It matches the Rfam family "Bacterial small subunit ribosomal RNA", at positions 568 to 774 of the family's 1533-position model. The record is from RNAcentral. Lineage: Bacteria; Pseudomonadati; Pseudomonadota; Gammaproteobacteria; Nevskiales; Nevskiaceae.
UGCGUAGACGGUUACAUAAGUCGGGUGUGAAAGCCCCGGGCUCAACCUGGGAAUUGCAUUCGAGACUGCGUAGCUAGGGUGCGGAAGAGGGAAGCGGAAUUUCCGGUGUAGCGGUGAAAUGCGUAGAUAUCGGAAGGAACACCAGUGGCGAAAGCGGCUUCCUGGUCCAGCACCGACGUUCAGGCACGAAAGCGUGGGGAGCAAACA